ACCUCAUCUGUCUGUAUCUGCCCCACUAGAGGUCUCCCUGUGUGACCUCAGCGAUUGUUGCUUGUCCUGUGUCUGUUCUGCUGUUUGUCGUUUCUCCAGCGUCUUCUUGCUGUUUGUCAUUGGUCCAGUGUCUGUUCCUCGGCCGUUUGUCCUGUUUGUCUGUGCGAGUGUUGUGCGGGGCCCUUUUCUGGUUCCCAUAACCGCUCUCUUUCAUCAGGACUCCUUCGCUCCACCACAUCAUGGACAGGAAGCGCUACAGAGGUCUCUACCUGGACCCCUUUAACUUGUUUUCUUAACAAUUUUCAGGACUUUGUCUGUUGGUUGGUUUUUGUUUGUUCCCUUUGUGUUCUGCGUUAGUUUCUACCUCAGUUUGUUUCUAAUGGGGAAAAAAAUGGUUAAGAAGGUUUUAACUGUGCUCACUACAGCUUGCAUUAAAAUGUAAAGUGCUGCCGACAGGACUAAAAGAAUGGUCAAAAGUAAGAGCUAAAGGUAAAAAGAAAAAGGCAUUCUAGAGAUUGCCUUCACUUAGGAACUGGGCCAGGUGGCCAACAGGGUAGAUCAUGUCAGUUCCUGUAGAGGACAGAUUAAAACUAAAGUGUUUUAUAUAAUUAUUAUUCCUAAAUGUAUUUUGUAUUACAAAAAACAUGGUUUUGUCUAGAAAAUUUGGCUUUUGUCUCUCAGUAUUUGCAAGCAUGAAUAACUCCCAACUAUUAAAAAAUGGUCUAAAGAUUUUUCAAUGUCAGGCUAAAAGUUGGUGGCCGCUAUCCAAGAAACCAGAAAAACCAGUUUAAAAUGGGACCCCAACCUGGGGGACUCUCCCAAGGAGACCAAUGGAGCUGCGUCUUUGGGAAGUUCCUCCAGGGAAAAAUUAGCCCCCUUUGUUUGUCUAUGUUCCCUCAACUCUUUUUAGCAUUCAUGAACAGGACCACCUCAGGAAAAAGGUCAGAAAACUUU
RNAcentral lists this long non-coding RNA (954 nucleotides) under Marmota monax (woodchuck). The record is from RNAcentral. Lineage: Eukaryota; Metazoa; Chordata; Mammalia; Rodentia; Sciuridae.